CAGUGAUUGGUCAGACAGUGGUAGCGUAUCUAGUCUAUGUAUAUCUAUGGUCUGAACGUCUGUUAGCAUCUCUGGCUGCUGUUGACCUUAUUUUUGGAGUAAAACACGUGGAAGCUGAAUUAGUGAGGAUGACUCCUGCUCCUGUCAUCUCUAAGCUCCUCCCACAUCUUUACCUGCACAUGAGGAAAAUCACUCCUGUAGAAUGCAGAUGUUCAGAGGGAGAUGAUGCCACAUCUGGUCCAGCUGAUGGAAGGUCUUGAAGUUCUCUGACUGGCCUCGACUGAAGAUGGUCGUCUCACUGGAUUUAAGAUGCACAAUGAGGGACGUCUGCAGAGACUGAGAAAGAGUCUCACCACAUCCUGACAUGAGGAAAAAGACUUUAUUGAAGACUACAAUGAGAAAAACUAUCAGACAGCAGACGGCUGCAUUCAAGAGAGGAAGACCAUCAAACAUCCACGUCAGCUGAUGGAGGUCCAAGAGUCUCACCCAACAAACAACCUACAGAGUGAAGACCUCCAAUCUGAUUGGACGGCCUCCUAUUCAGCCACAUGUGUGAACAAAUGCCUCUAAGCUGAUUUGUUUUCUAAAAUGAAUCUAGUUUGAGUCCUAAUCUAUGCCUGUGUGUUUGCUUCUGUACACUGCUGUUAACAGUUUAAGCUGUUAGAUUGUUCCAGAUAAGACAAGUACAAGAUUCUUCAGAGCCGUUCUACCACGAGCCUGACGGGAAGAACUCCAACAUCUACUGAAUGUUCCUGUGGUUCCCUCAAGGCUACAGGAGGAGUCCUACGAGGACGAGCUGGUCCACCUGAUGGUGGCCAGUCGCUGCGGUUCAAAGCCAACACCGACUACGUGGACUUCUACUGGACCACACGGAGGCCUUCAAACCGGACCAACAAGUUCAGCGACUCCCCGACUCGUGGGUCUGAGGACGCCGCCGAGCCUCGGUCCAGCCGGCCUCCUGUCUGUGGGUGUUUGAGUGCUGAGAGGUUUGUGGAUGCAUGUGAACGUUCUGUGUUGAAACAGCAGCUUUGGACUCAGUAACGCCGGGAAAAACCAAGAGCUCCUUUAUUUGUG
Molecule: long non-coding RNA, 1074 nt
Organism: Amphiprion ocellaris (clown anemonefish)
Lineage: Eukaryota; Metazoa; Chordata; Actinopteri; Pomacentridae
Source: Ensembl